GUCCACGCCGUAAACUAUGGGUGCUAGCCGUCGGCGAGCUUGCUCGUCGGUGGCGCAGCUAACGCAUUAAGCACCCCGCCUGGGGAGUACGGCCGCAAGGUUAAAACUCAAAGGAAUUGACGGGGGCCCGCACAAGCGGUGGAGCAUGUGGUUUAAUUCGACGCAACGCGAAGAACCUUACCAGCUCUUGACAUGCCCGGACGGUUUCCAGAAAUGGAUUCCUCCCAGCAAUGGGUCGGGACACAGGUGCUGCAUGGCUGUCGU
This 264-nucleotide ribosomal RNA is filed under the name uncultured bacterium. RNAcentral's name for it is "partial 16S ribosomal RNA". It matches the Rfam family "Bacterial small subunit ribosomal RNA", at positions 793 to 1055 of the family's 1533-position model. The record is from RNAcentral.